This 1335-nucleotide ribosomal RNA is filed under the name Escherichia coli. Its description in RNAcentral is "partial 23S ribosomal RNA". It matches the Rfam family "Bacterial large subunit ribosomal RNA", at positions 1625 to 2925 of the family's 2925-position model. Lineage: Bacteria; Pseudomonadati; Pseudomonadota; Gammaproteobacteria; Enterobacterales; Enterobacteriaceae. The record is from RNAcentral.
CAUCAGGUAACAUCAAAUCGUACCCCAAACCGACACAGGUGGUCAGGUAGAGAAUACCAAGGCGCUUGAGAGAACUCGGGUGAAGGAACUAGGCAAAAUGGUGCCGUAACUUCGGGAGAAGGCACGCUGAUAUGUAGGUGAAGUCCCUCGCGGAUGGAGCUGAAAUCAGUCGAAGAUACCAGCUGGCUGCAACUGUUUAUUAAAAACACAGCACUGUGCAAACACGAAAGUGGACGUAUACGGUGUGACGCCUGCCCGGUGCCGGAAGGUUAAUUGAUGGGGUCAGCGCAAGCGAAGCUCUUGAUCGAAGCCCCGGUAAACGGCGGCCGUAACUAUAACGGUCCUAAGGUAGCGAAAUUCCUUGUCGGGUAAGUUCCGACCUGCACGAAUGGCGUAAUGAUGGCCAGGCUGUCUCCACCCGAGACUCAGUGAAAUUGAACUCGCUGUGAAGAUGCAGUGUACCCGCGGCAAGACGGAAAGACCCCGUGAACCUUUACUAUAGCUUGACACUGAACAUUGAGCCUUGAUGUGUAGGAUAGGUGGGAGGCUUUGAAGUGUGGACGCCAGUCUGCAUGGAGCCGACCUUGAAAUACCACCCUUUAAUGUUUGAUGUUCUAACGUUGACCCGUGAUCCGGGUUGCGGACAGUGUCUGGUGGGUAGUUUGACUGGGGCGGUCUCCUCCUAAAGAGUAACGGAGGAGCACGAAGGUUGGCUAAUCCUGGUCGGACAUCAGGAGGUUAGUGCAAUGGCAUAAGCCAGCUUGACUGCGAGCGUGACGGCGCGAGCAGGUGCGAAAGCAGGUCAUAGUGAUCCGGUGGUUCUGAAUGGAAGGGCCAUCGCUCAACGGAUAAAAGGUACUCCGGGGAUAACAGGCUGAUACCGCCCAAGAGUUCAUAUCGACGGCGGUGUUUGGCACCUCGAUGUCGGCUCAUCACAUCCUGGGGCUGAAGUAGGUCCCAAGGGUAUGGCUGUUCGCCAUUUAAAGUGGUACGCGAGCUGGGUUUAGAACGUCGUGAGACAGUUCGGUCCCUAUCUGCCGUGGGCGCUGGAGAACUGAGGGGGGCUGCUCCUAGUACGAGAGGACCGGAGUGGACGCAUCACUGGUGUUCGGGUUGUCAUGCCAAUGGCACUGCCCGGUAGCUAAAUGCGGAAGAGAUAAGUGCUGAAAGCAUCUAAGCACGAAACUUGCCCCGAGAUGAGUUCUCCCUGACUCCUUGAGAGUCCUGAAGGAACGUUGAAGACGACGACGUUGAUAGGCCGGGUGUGUAAGCGCAGCGAUGCGUUGAGCUAACCGGUACUAAUGAACCGUGAGGCUUAACCUUACAACGCCGAAG